CAGGAUUAGAUACCCUGUAGUCCACGCCGUAAACGAUGAUUACUCGUUGUUGGCAAUACAUAGUCAGCGACUGAGCGAAAGCAUUAAGUAAUCCACCUGGGGAGUACGUUGGCAACAAUGAAACUCAAAGGAAUUGACGGGGGCCCGCACAAGCGGAGGAACAUGUGGUUUAAUUCGAUGAUACGCGAGGAACCUUACCUGGACUUAAAUGUAGAUUGACAGGACUAGAGAUAGUUUUUUCUUCGGACAAUUUACAAGGUGCUGCAUGGUUGUCGUCAGCUCGUGCCGUGAGGUGUCGGGUUAAGUCCCAUAACGAGCGCAACCCCUAUCUUUAGUUACCAGCACGUAAUGGUGGGGACUCUAAAGAGACUGCCUGGGUAACCAGAGAGGAAGGUGGGGAUGACGUCAAAUCAGCACGGCCCUUACGUCCAGGGCUACACACGUGUUACAAUGGUCGGUACAAAGGGCAGCUACCUAGCGAUAGGAUGCUAAUCUCUAAAACCGGUCUCAGUUCGGAUCGGAGUCUGCAACUCGACUCCGUGAAGCUGGAUUCGCUAGUAAUCGCAUAUCAGCCAUGAUGCGGUGAAUACGUUCCCGGGCCUUGUACACACCGCCCGUCAAACCAUGGAAGUUGGGGGUACCUGAAGUCUGUUACCGCA
RNAcentral lists this ribosomal RNA (659 nucleotides) under uncultured Cytophagales bacterium. Its description in RNAcentral is "bacterial SSU rRNA". It matches the Rfam family "Bacterial small subunit ribosomal RNA", at positions 773 to 1438 of the family's 1533-position model. The record is from RNAcentral. Lineage: Bacteria; Pseudomonadati; Bacteroidota; Sphingobacteriia; Sphingobacteriales.